This 651-nucleotide ribosomal RNA is filed under the name Bacillus sp. CUA-797. Its description in RNAcentral is "bacterial SSU rRNA". It matches the Rfam family "Bacterial small subunit ribosomal RNA", at positions 837 to 1487 of the family's 1533-position model. The record is from RNAcentral. Lineage: Bacteria; Bacillati; Bacillota; Bacilli; Caryophanales; Bacillaceae.
CCCUCAGUGCUGACGUUAACACAUUAAGCACUCCGCCUGGGGAGUACGGCCGCAAGGCUGAAACUCAAAGGAAUUGACGGGGGCCCGCACAAGCAGUGGAGCAUGUGGUUUAAUUCGAAGCAACGCGAAGAACCUUACCAGGUCUUGACAUCCUUCGCUACUUCUAGAGAUAGAAGGUUCCCCUUCGGGGGACGAAGUGACAGGUGGUGCAUGGUUGUCGUCAGCUCGUGUCGUGAGAUGUUGGGUUAAGUCCCGCAACGAGCGCAACCCUUGAUCUUAGUUGCCAGCAUUCAGUUGGGCACUCUAAGGUGACUGCCGGUGACAAACCGGAGGAAGGUGGGGAUGACGUCAAAUCAUCAUGCCCCUUAUGACCUGGGCUACACACGUGCUACAAUGGAUGGUACAAAGGGCAGCAAAACCGCGAGGUUGAGCGAAUCCCAUAAAGCCAUUCUCAGUUCGGAUUGCAGGCUGCAACUCGCCUGCAUGAAGCCGGAAUUGCUAGUAAUCGCGGAUCAGCAUGCCGCGGUGAAUACGUUCCCGGGCCUUGUACACACCGCCCGUCACACCACGAGAGUUUGUAACACCCGAAGUCGGUGAGGUAACCUUUUGGAACCAGCCGCCGAAGGUGGGACAGAUGAUUGGGGUGAAGUC